AGGAUGAACGCUGGCGGCGUGCCUAACACAUGCAAGUCGAGCGAUCUUCUUCGGAAGAGAGCGGCGGACGGGUGAGUAACGCGUGGGUAACCUGCCCUGUACACACGGAUAACAUACCGAAAGGUAUGCUAAUACGGGAUAACAUAUGAGAGUCACAUGACUUUUAUAUCAAAGCUUUUGCGGUACAGGAUGGACCCGCGUCUGAUUAGCUAGUUGGUAAGGUAACGGCUUACCAAGGCGACGAUCAGUAGCCGACCUGAGAGGGUGAUCGGCCACACUGGAACUGAGACACGGUCCAGACUCCUACGGGAGGCAGCAGUGGGGAAUAUUGCACAAUGGGCGAAAGCCUGAUGCAGCAACGCCGCGUGAGCGAUGAAGGCCUUCGGGUCGUAAAGCUCUGUCCUCAAGGAAGAUAAUGACGGUACUUGAGGAGGAAGCCCCGGCUAACUACGUGCCAGCAGCCGCAGUAAUACGUAGGGGGCUAGCGUUAUCCGGAAUUACUGGGCGUAAAGGGUGCGUAGGCGGUCUUUCAAGCCAGAAGUGAAAGGCUACGGCUCAACCGUAGUAAGCUUUUGGAACUGUAGGACUUGAGUGCAGGAGAGGAGAGUAGAAUUCCUAGUGUAGCGGUGAAAUGCGUAGAUAUUAGGAGGAAUACCAGUAGCGAAGGCGGCUCUCUGGACUGUAACUGACGCUGAGGCACGAAAGCGUGGGGAGCGAACAGGAUUAGAUACCCUGGUAGUCCACGCCGUAAACGAUGAGUACUAGGUGUCGGGGGUUACCCCCCUCGGUGCCGCAGCUAACGCAUUAAGUACUCCGCCUGGGAAGUACGCUCGCGAGAGUGAAA
Molecule: ribosomal RNA, 844 nt
Filed under: uncultured bacterium
Lineage: Bacteria
Description: bacterial SSU rRNA
Rfam family: Bacterial small subunit ribosomal RNA
Source: RNAcentral